AUUGAACGCUGGCGGCAGGCCUAACACAUGCAAGUCGAGCGGAUGAAGGGAGCUUGCUCCUGGAUUCAGCGGCGGACGGGUGAGUAAUGCCUAGGAAUCUGCCUGGUAGUGGGGGAUAACGUCCGGACACGGGCGCUAAUACCGCAUACGUCCUGAGGGAGAAAGUGGGGAUCUUCGGACCUCACGCUAUCAGAUGAGCCUAGGUCGGAUUAGCUAGUUGGUGGGGUAAAGGCCUACCAAGGCGACGAUCCGUAACUGGUCUGAGAGGAUGAUCAGUCACACUGGAACUGAGACACGGUCCAGACUCCUACGGGAGGCAGCAGUGGGGAAUAUUGGACAAUGGGCGAAAGCCUGAUCCAGCCAUGCCGCGUGUGUGAAGAAGGUCUUCGGAUUGUAAAGCACUUUAAGUUGGGAGGAAGGGCAGUAAGUUAAUACCUUGCUGUUUUGACGGUACCAACAGAAUAAGCACCGGCUAACUUCGUG
This 483-nucleotide ribosomal RNA is filed under the name uncultured bacterium. RNAcentral describes it as "partial 16S ribosomal RNA". It matches the Rfam family "Bacterial small subunit ribosomal RNA", at positions 30 to 507 of the family's 1533-position model. The record is from RNAcentral.